This 495-nucleotide ribosomal RNA is filed under the name uncultured bacterium. RNAcentral describes it as "partial 16S ribosomal RNA". It matches the Rfam family "Bacterial small subunit ribosomal RNA", at positions 28 to 507 of the family's 1533-position model. The record is from RNAcentral.
GAUGAACGCUGGCGGCGUGCCUAAUACAUGCAAGUAGAACGCUGAAGGAGGAGCUUGCUCUUCUGGAUGAGUUGCGAACGGGUGAGUAACGCGUAGGUAACCUGCCUGUUAGCGGGGGAUAACUAUUGGAAACGAUAGCUAAUACCGCAUGACAACAGUUAUUGCAUGAUAACUGUUUAAAAGGGGCAACUGCUCCACUACCAGAUGGACCUGCGUUGUAUUAGCUAGUUGGUGAGGUAACGGCUCACCAAGGCGACGAUACAUAGCCGACCUGAGAGGGGGAUCGGCCACACUGGGACUGAGACACGGCCCAGACUCCUACGGGAGGCAGCAGUAGGGAAUCUUCGGCAAUGGACGGAAGUCUGACCGAGCAACGCCGAGUGAGUGAAGAAGGUUUUCGGAUCGUAAAGCUCUGUUGUAAGAGAAGAACGAGUGUGAGAGUGGAAAGUUCACACUGUGACGGUAUCUUACCAGAAAGGGACGGCUAACUACGUG